GAUGAACGCUAGCUACAGGCUUAACACAUGCAAGUCGAGGGGCAGCAUGCUGGUAGCUUGCUAUCAGCGAUGGCGACCGGCGCACGGGUGCGUAACACGUAUCCAAUCUACCCAUGGCUCGGGGAUAGCCUUUCGAAAGAAAGAUUAAUACCCGAUGGUCUGUGAUUGAGACAUCUCGAACAUAGUAAAGAUUAAUCGGCGAUGGAUGAGGAUGCGUCCGAUUAGCUAGUUGGCGGGGUAACGGCCCACCAAGGCGACGAUCGGUAGGGGUUCUGAGAGGAAGGUCCCCCACAUUGGAACUGAGACACGGUCCAAACUCC
This 320-nucleotide ribosomal RNA is filed under the name uncultured Bacteroidales bacterium. RNAcentral's name for it is "bacterial SSU rRNA". It matches the Rfam family "Bacterial small subunit ribosomal RNA", at positions 28 to 339 of the family's 1533-position model. Lineage: Bacteria; Pseudomonadati; Bacteroidota; Bacteroidia; Bacteroidales. The record is from RNAcentral.